RNAcentral lists this transfer RNA (77 nucleotides) under Anguilla anguilla (European eel). RNAcentral's name for it is "tRNA-OTHER". The record is from RNAcentral. Lineage: Eukaryota; Metazoa; Chordata; Actinopteri; Anguilliformes; Anguillidae.
AGCGGUGUGGCACAGUAGGCAGGGAACUGGCUUUGUGACUCAGAGGUUGCGGGUUCGAUUUUCCCGCUGUGCCGCUG